UAAGUCUGCUGUGGAGUGGUACCUUAAAAUCCUAAAGCCUGAUUUAUGCUUCUGCAACACUGUGGCCAUGCAGUGACGUUGAUGUGCGCGUGACCCUUUUAAAGUUCUCUGUCGCGUCUUUAUGCACUUUAAACGGUAAAUGUAAAUG
Molecule: long non-coding RNA, 148 nt
Organism: Thalassophryne amazonica
Lineage: Eukaryota; Metazoa; Chordata; Actinopteri; Batrachoidiformes; Batrachoididae
Exons: 3
Source: RefSeq, a predicted model, not a curated record